GACGAACGCUGGCGGCGUGCCUAAUACAUGCAAGUCGAACGAACCGCGACUGAGUGCUUGCACUUGGUCAAGGUGAGUGGCGAACGGGUGAGUAACACGUGGGUAACCUACCUCAUAGUGGGGGAUAACAGUCGGAAACGACUGCUAAUACCGCAUAGGACAUCGGCUCACAUGAUCCAUUGAGGAAAGUUGGCGCAAGCUAUCGCUAAGAGAUGGACCCGCGGUGCAUUAGCUAGUUGGUAGGGUAAAGGCCUACCAAGGCGAUGAUGCAUAGCCGACCUGAGAGGGUGAUCGGCCACAUUGGGACUGAGACACGGCCCAGACUCCUACGGGAGGCAGCAGUAGGGAAUCUUCCGCAAUGGACGCAAGUCUGACGGAGCAACGCCGCGUGAGUGAAGAAGGUCUUCGGAUCGUAAAGCUCUGUUGUUAGAGAAGAACAGCGCAUAGAGUAACUGCUAUGCGUGUGACGGUACCUAACCAGAAAGCCACGGCUAACUACGUG
Molecule: ribosomal RNA, 502 nt
Filed under: uncultured bacterium
Lineage: Bacteria
Description: partial 16S ribosomal RNA
Rfam family: Bacterial small subunit ribosomal RNA
Source: RNAcentral